This 253-nucleotide ribosomal RNA is filed under the name uncultured bacterium. Its description in RNAcentral is "partial 16S ribosomal RNA". It matches the Rfam family "Bacterial small subunit ribosomal RNA", at positions 524 to 776 of the family's 1533-position model. The record is from RNAcentral.
UACAGAGGUCCCGAGCGUUGUUCGGAUUCACUGGGCGUAAAGGGUGCGUAGGUGGUUGGGCAAGUCUGAUGUGAAAUCUCCGGGCUUAACCCGGAAAUGGCAUUGGAAACUGCUUGGCUAGAGUGUUGGAGGGGGGACUGGAAUUCUCGGUGUAGCAGUGAAAUGCGUAGAUAUCGAGAGGAACACCAGUGGCGAAGGCGAGUCCCUGGACAACGACUGACACUGAGGCACGAAAGCUAGGGGAGCAAACAGG